This 537-nucleotide ribosomal RNA is filed under the name Bifidobacterium breve. RNAcentral's name for it is "bacterial SSU rRNA". It matches the Rfam family "Bacterial small subunit ribosomal RNA", at positions 155 to 702 of the family's 1533-position model. Lineage: Bacteria; Bacillati; Actinomycetota; Actinomycetes; Bifidobacteriales; Bifidobacteriaceae. The record is from RNAcentral.
AACGGGUGGUAAUGCCGGAUGCUCCAUCACACCGCAUGGUGUGUUGGGAAAGCCUUUGCGGCAUGGGAUGGGGUCGCGUCCUAUCAGCUUGAUGGCGGGGUAACGGCCCACCAUGGCUUCGACGGGUAGCCGGCCUGAGAGGGCGACCGGCCACAUUGGGACUGAGAUACGGCCCAGACUCCUACGGGAGGCAGCAGUGGGGAAUAUUGCACAAUGGGCGCAAGCCUGAUGCAGCGACGCCGCGUGAGGGAUGGAGGCCUUCGGGUUGUAAACCUCUUUUGUUAGGGAGCAAGGCAUUUUGUGUUGAGUGUACCUUUCGAAUAAGCACCGGCUAACUACGUGCCAGCAGCCGCGGUAAUACGUAGGGUGCAAGCGUUAUCCGGAAUUAUUGGGCGUAAAGGGCUCGUAGGCGGUUCGUCGCGUCCGGUGUGAAAGUCCAUCGCUUAACGGUGGAUCCGCGCCGGGUACGGGCGGGCUUGAGUGCGGUAGGGGAGACUGGAAUUCCCGGUGUAACGGUGGAAUGUGUAGAUAUCGGGA